CGUUCAGUUGGGCACUCUAGCGAGACUGCCGGUAAUAAACCGGAGGAAGGUGGGGAUGACGUCAAAUCAUCAUGCCCCUUAUGACCUGGGCUACACACGUGCUACAAUGGUUGGUACAACGAGUUGCGAGUCGGUGACGGCGAGCUAAUCUCUUAAAGCCAAUCUCAGUUCGGAUUGUAGGCUGCAACUCGCCUACAUGAAGUCGGAAUCGCUAGUAAUCGCGGAUCAGCACGCCGCGGUGAAUACGUUCCCGGGCCUU
This 259-nucleotide ribosomal RNA is filed under the name uncultured Streptococcus sp. RNAcentral's name for it is "partial 16S ribosomal RNA". It matches the Rfam family "Bacterial small subunit ribosomal RNA", at positions 1124 to 1382 of the family's 1533-position model. The record is from RNAcentral. Lineage: Bacteria; Bacillati; Bacillota; Bacilli; Lactobacillales; Streptococcaceae.